AUGGGCGCAAGCCUGAUNCCAGCCAUACCGCGUGGGUGAAGAAGGCCUUCGGGUGUGUAAAGCCCUUUUGUUGGGAAAGAAAUCCAGCUGGCUAAUACCCGGUUGGGAUGACGGUACCCAAAGAAUAAGCACCGGCUAACUUCGUGCCAGCAGCCGCGGUAAUACGAAGGGUGCAAGCGUUACUCGGAAUUACUGGGCGUAAAGCGUGCGUAGGUGGUCGUUUAAGUCCGUUGUGAAAGCCCUGGGCUCAACCUGGGAACUGCAGUGGAUACUGGGCGACUAGAGUGUGGUAGAGGGUAGCGGAAUUCCUGGUGUAGCAGUGAAAUGCGUAGAGAUCAGGAGGAACAUCCAUGGCGAAGGCAGCUACCUGGACCAACACUGACACUGAGGCACGAAAGCGUGGGGAGCAAACAGGAUUAGAUACCCUGGUAGUCCACGCCCUAAACGAUGCGAACUGGAUGUUGGGUGCAAUUUGGCACGCAGUAUCGAAGCUAACGCGUUAAGUUCGCCGCCUGGGGAGUACGGUCGCAAGACUGAAACUCAAAGGAAUUGACNGGGGCCCGCACAAGCGGUGGAGUAUGU
RNAcentral lists this ribosomal RNA (582 nucleotides) under bacterium E-1-48-6G. Its description in RNAcentral is "bacterial SSU rRNA". It matches the Rfam family "Bacterial small subunit ribosomal RNA", at positions 371 to 942 of the family's 1533-position model. The record is from RNAcentral.